RNAcentral lists this ribosomal RNA (373 nucleotides) under uncultured organism. RNAcentral describes it as "bacterial SSU rRNA". It matches the Rfam family "Bacterial small subunit ribosomal RNA", at positions 526 to 896 of the family's 1533-position model. The record is from RNAcentral.
CGUAGGGCGCAAGCGUUGUCCGGAUUUAUUGGGCGUAAAGAGCUCGUAGGCGGCUUGUCGCGUCGACUGUGAAAACCCGCAGCUCAACUGUGGGCUUGCAGCCGAUACGGGCGGGCUAGAGUUCGGUAGGGGAGACUGGAAUUCCUGGUGUAGCGGUGAAAUGCGCAGAUAUCAGGAGGAACACCGGUGGCGAAGGCGGGUCUCUGGGCCGAUACUGACGCUGAGGAGCGAAAGCGUGGGGAGCGAACAGGAUUAGAUACCCUGGUAGUCCACGCUGUAAACGUUGGGCGCUAGGUGUGGGGGGCCUCUCCGGUUCUCUGUGCCGCAGCUAACGCAUUAAGCGCCCCGCCUGGGGAGUACGGCCGCAAGGCUA